Molecule: long non-coding RNA, 343 nt
Filed under: Nicotiana tabacum (common tobacco)
Lineage: Eukaryota; Viridiplantae; Streptophyta; Magnoliopsida; Solanales; Solanaceae
Description: long non-coding RNA (NTAB_LNC004604)
Source: RNAcentral
AGCUUUACAAAAGCUAAUUGAUGCUCGGGUCGGCAAAGCUCUUCAGGCUCUAGUUAGUCGAUUGCCUGCUGCACCACCCACACCAACUCCUAAUAAUAAUACAUUGGAGAAUCCCCGUUCUGGUCUUGUUAAUUCUGGAAAUGGAGCAACCACCAGUGAACCACAGGAAUGGGGACCAGGUAAUUCAAAUAAUUCAUAUUUGUAAAAUUUAGUACUAACCUUGCAGAAACAGAUUAAGGAACAAAAUGAGCGUAUUGAGCAAAUCCCUGGAGUUCCGCCUGUAAUAAAAGGAGUAGACAUGGACAAAUACUCACAACAACCUUGGAAGCCAAGUGCUGCUCCC